Oncorhynchus keta (chum salmon) is the source of this 1071-nucleotide long non-coding RNA. RefSeq lists it as uncharacterized. The transcript has 2 exons. The record is from RefSeq and is a predicted model, not a curated record. Lineage: Eukaryota; Metazoa; Chordata; Actinopteri; Salmoniformes; Salmonidae.
CUGUAGUAAUAAAUAGAAACGGACACAACGUUUAUCUUAUUGACUGCAUCGUUCUGGCGCUUUCUAUAUACUGAAAAAUUGUGUGCAUCUGUCCGGAACUUCCUGUUCCCCCACUAACACCGUCCAUACAUUCCGGGAUCCUUGGGAUGACCCAACCCCAUUACAUGAGAAGGGGUCGCUACCUCCUCCGUGACACAUUUUUAUUUUUUACUAAGCAAGUCAGUUAAGAACAAAUUCUUAUUUUCAAUGACGGCCUCGGAACAGUGGAUUAACUGCCUUGUUCAGGGGCAUAACGACAGAUUUGUACCUUAGUAAGGCCGACUUGAAUUAAGUCUGAGUUCGGUAACAUCAACAGUGAGGACAAACCCAGCCUGCCUCUCUCCUUCCACACUGAGUCCAAACCUACAGUCACUGGGUCCUGAUUGUGACAGUGGAGCCCAGUUUGGUCACAUGCAUUUCACAUGAUAUCCAUCUGCGUUCCAUCUGUCCUCUAGACAGAAAGGAAUUCUCUGGUUCGAACUUUAUUGAAGAUUUAUGAUAAAAACAUCCUAAUGAUUGAUUCUAUACUUAAUUUGAAACGUUUCUUCGACCUGUAAUAGAACUUUUGGAAGUUUUUGUCCCAAGUAAUCCUCGACCUGAAGGAGCGUUUGGAUAUGUAUACCAAACGAGCUAACAAAAGGAUCUAUUUGGACAUAAAUAACAGACAUUAUCGAACAAAUCAAACAUUUGUGGAACUAGGAUUCCUGGGAGUGCAUUCUGAUGAAGAUCUUCAAAGGGAAUAUUUAUCAUGUAAUUUAUGGUUUCUGUUGACUCCAACAUGGUGGCUAAUUUGGUUAUUUUUGAGUGCCAUCUCAGAUUAUUGCAUGGUUUGCUUUUUCCAUAAAGUUUUUUUGAAAUCUGACACAUUGGUUGCAUUAAGGAGAGGUAUAUCUAUAAUUCCAUGUGUAUAACUUGUAUUAUCAUCUACAUUUAUGAUGAGUAUUUCUGUUGAAUCUAUGUGGCUAUGCAAAAUCACUGGAUGUUUUUGGAAAUAGUGAACGUAACGCACCAAUGUAAACUCAGGUUUUUUUU